GAGACCCACGCCAACAGUUGCCAGCAUGUCCUCCGGGAUGGUGGGGACACUGUUGGGACCGCCUCUGCUAAAGAGGAGGAAGGAAUGGGCAACGGUAGGUCAGCAUGCCCCGAAUUAUCCGGGCUACACGCGGGCUACAAUGGUCAGGACAAUGGGUAUCGACACCGAGAGGUGAAGGCAAUCUCUUAAACCUGUCCUUAGUCCGGAUUGUGGGCUGCAACUCGCCCACAUGAAGCUGGAAUCCGUAGUAAUCGCGUCUCAAAAUGGCGCGGUGAAUAU
Molecule: ribosomal RNA, 279 nt
Filed under: uncultured archaeon
Lineage: Archaea
Description: partial 16S rRNA
Rfam family: Archaeal small subunit ribosomal RNA
Source: RNAcentral